UCCAUACUGGCCGUUGACUUCCGGUUUUCCACGUUCACGGCAGCAUUUGUUACGGGUUUUUCUUGCUUUGCUGUUGGCUUUAAUCGUGUUUUAACUGGCACCCGUGGUAUUUCCUCGCAGUUUCGAUUUGCCUGAUGACUGAUGGUAUUGAUCGUACCUCAUGUGUUUGUGGCUGUUUGGAACAGUUGCUCAUUUUGUAAUCAGAUUCUUGCUUUUAUAAUUCCUUACAUAUUAUAAAUAUACUAUGUAUUACGCAUAGGAAUCCUUCGUUGGGGGGAUAGUUGGCAAACAAUUCUCUAGUUCUGUAGGUUCCUCUGUUUCUUUGUAUGCUGUACAGAACUCCAGUGUAAUGGUUUGACUGUCCUCAUUUCUGAUUUCUUUGCUUUUAUAAUCGCACACAGCCACUGCUCACCGCAUCUACGAUACUCCAUUGCCCUUGCCGACGUGCGUCUAUGUAAGUUUCCAGUUCAGACCUUGCAUUUGGUCUUUGGUUCAUCGUGAGCUAAGAUGCAUUGGUCAGGAAAAGCCUCAGUUUCCGUCCCUUGCAAGUGGGUGUCUGCUUUCCCUGCACACUUUGCUGACGAGGCCAGCCUCACAGCCUGCACGGUUUGCGCACCUUUGUCAAAACGGAGCUGGUUCUAGGUGUGCAAGCUGACGUUUGGGCUCUCUGUUCAUUCCCACGGGUCGCUUGAUCUAUGGCCGUGCUGUUUCUGCUAUCGUGGCUCAGUAGAACGUCUUGAGAUGAGUGUCCAUGUCACCUCUGGCCUCGCUGCUUUUGCUCAAGAUUAUUUCGUCUGUUCUGAGUCUUUGGUGAAGAGGCAGAAUUUGGAAACAUUGUCUUUACUCCUCUGCGCUGAAUAACUACAUGUGUUAUUUCUUAUUGAAUACCUCCCCAAACCAGAAGUCAUCAUCUCAAAUCCUAGGACUAGGUCAUUUGAGACAUUACUAGAAAACAGUAUACGUCUUACACAAAAAGAAAAAGAUGCUGAGGUUAGCCCUUUGUAUAAGUCUUUGUUGUACUUUAUAAUUCUUCCUGUGUGUUCAAGUUUUCUUAACCUUUUUUCCUGUAAUCGCUCGACUCUGUGCUCUGGCAUGCUGUUGGGUAGAGCGGAAAGCUCUGUUGCCCUGUAGUAAACUGUGUUCAUCUUCACUCGCA
This 1156-nucleotide long non-coding RNA is filed under the name Rattus norvegicus (Norway rat). RNAcentral's name for it is "long non-coding RNA NONRATT009038". The record is from RNAcentral. Lineage: Eukaryota; Metazoa; Chordata; Mammalia; Rodentia; Muridae.